CCUACGGGCGGCAGCAGUGAGGAAUAUUGGUCAAUGGACGAGAGUCUGAACCAGCCAAGUAGCGUGAAGGAUGACUGCCCUAUGGGUUGUAAACUUCUUUUAUAUGGGAAUAAAACGUUCCACGUGUGGGAUUUUGUAUGUACCAUAUGAAUAAGGAUCGGCUAACUCCGUGCCAGCAGCCGCGGUAAUACGGAGGAUCCGAGCGUUAUCCGGAUUUAUUGGGUUUAAAGGGAGCGGAGGCGGAUUGUUAAGUCAGUUGUGAAAGUUUGCGGCUCAACCGUAAAAUUGCAGUUGAAACUGGCAGUCUUGAGUACAGGAGAGGUGGGCGGAAUGCGUGGUGUAGCGGUGAAAUGCUUAGAUAUCGCGAAGAACUCCGAUUGCGAAGGCAGUUCACUGGACUGCAACUGACACUGAGGCUCGAAAGUGUGGGUAUCAAACAGGAUUAGAUACCCUUGUAGUC
This 460-nucleotide ribosomal RNA is filed under the name uncultured bacterium. RNAcentral's name for it is "partial 16S ribosomal RNA". It matches the Rfam family "Bacterial small subunit ribosomal RNA", at positions 338 to 795 of the family's 1533-position model. The record is from RNAcentral.